CCUUGAGUGAUCACAGUUUUUGAGAAUCAUGACAAGGCAUUAAAGAAGAGGUGGGGUGUCCCGAGGGAGAUGAGCAGGAGGCCGCUGCGCGGAAGAUGCUGACAUAGAUUAUCGCUGAAGGAGUCCUAGAGAUAAUCAACUAUCAACUCAACUGGGUAGAUGCCAUCAGAGGCUCGAAGAGCUCAACUGACUUAUUCAAAGUCACACAGAAAGUUCAAACAAGAUAGCAAUCUCCAAGCCAACUUGAAACUGCCGUGAGAAGAGGGUCGGAGAAGAAAUUUUAGAGGUGAAAAGCCACAAUAAGACCUCUUGGAUGUGCACAAGCAAGCCAAGGCUACUCUGCUCUGCAAAGAUUAGAACAAUAUGGAUCCCCAGUAAGGCAUCUGCUUGCUGGUGGCUCACUGCUGACCUCCUACAAACAGAAGGCGUGAGGCGAGUGUUUAGGUCAGCACCAGUCUGUCUUCCUGAGCUUCCACAAUAGUGCUGGACAGUCGCGGUUCCUUGGUAUUUCUCAAGUAACUGGGUAUAUCCAGGCCUUACCAGGUAUGUCUAUGCACUAUGUGUGUGCUGUGCCCAUGGAAGUCCAAAGAGGCCGCUGGAUCACUUUGAACUGGAGUUACAGUUGACUGCGAGUGGUGGAUGCUGGAACUUGAGCUUGGGUCUUCUGCAAGAGCGGCCAGUGCUCUUAGCAGCUGAACUGGAAUGAAAAAUUGCCCAGCCUAGAAUGAGAAGCUCUUUCUGACCCUGGAAAUCUUUGUUUUCCCUGCUUGCUGGAAGUCUGAGGAACCUCGUAAACUUCAGACAGAACCCAGAGAAACAACAAUAAAAAUGUUCAUGUUGUUAGUAGAUGAAAAAAUACAUUUUUUAUUGAUUGAAGAUCAGUUAUUAAAAACAAACAAAGCAUGUUAUUUUGUAAUUCUGUCUAAUAAUAUCCUAAAACAGAGUUACAAACUGGAAAA
Long non-coding RNA from Apodemus sylvaticus (European woodmouse), 959 nucleotides. RefSeq lists it as uncharacterized. The transcript is spliced from 5 exons. Lineage: Eukaryota; Metazoa; Chordata; Mammalia; Rodentia; Muridae. The record is from RefSeq and is a predicted model, not a curated record.